This 293-nucleotide ribosomal RNA is filed under the name uncultured eukaryote. Its description in RNAcentral is "partial 18S ribosomal RNA". It matches the Rfam family "Bacterial small subunit ribosomal RNA", at positions 902 to 1161 of the family's 1533-position model. The record is from RNAcentral.
CAAAGGAAUUGACGGGGACUUGCACAAGCGGUGGAUUAUGCGGUUCAAUUCGAUGAUAAGCGAAAAACCUUACCAAGGCUAGAAAUUCAUAUGAAGCUAGCAGAAAUGCAAAGCGUCUCACAAGGACAUAUGGACAGGUGAUGCAUGGCCGUCGUCAGUUCGUGAUUUGAAUUGUUCCCUUUAGUGGGGUAACGAACGCAACCCUCAUUGGCUGUUACAAGUGUCAGCCGAGACUACCCAGCACAGAGCGCACUACGUAUACAAUUUUUAAUUGAAAAUUAAAAAAUUAAAAU